Molecule: non-coding RNA, 269 nt
Organism: Paramuricea clavata
Lineage: Eukaryota; Metazoa; Cnidaria; Anthozoa; Malacalcyonacea; Plexauridae
Source: the annotation of a GenBank genome assembly
GUUUAACGCACUCCUUACUCAAAUGACUGCCAGAACAAGCCAGCUCCAGGUAUGCCAGACAGCAACAUAUCAAAUAAAGCACUGCACCGCUUAACCGCUUUUCCAUCCGUGGACUCGCGUAUACACAAUUGGUAAUCCAAAGUAAAUCUACAAUAUCAGAACACCGUCAAUGAGUGACUUAACUUGUAAGGUAAACUGUAGAUGAUUAUCACGCUAGAUGGUCGGCAUCAGUUUGAGAAUUUUAGGACCGUUUGUGUUGUCUAUUUAGU